AUUUACAUGAAUCAAUGAAUUUCUAUUUUAUUAUUUGCACCUAAGACUAGGGUAAAAUAUGUCAUUUUAUAUUUUCUGCUUUUAGCAUUCUCCUUACAGUUGUAACAAAAAAAACUGCUCAAGUUGUGUAGUCUAUUUUCUAUACUUGGAUAUGUUAAAUUGGGGACUUGAAAAAUACAGAUAUCAUUGAUAAAGUAUUGAAAUAGAAUAACAAAGAUUGUAUACUAUUUCAAUAACAUGUUAAAAAUAUUGCCAUGAAUUUACAUGAAGUAAUAGUAUGUCUAUUCUUGAGAAGUGAGAUUAAUUUCAAUUGGAAUAAUUAUUCGCCAGUGAAAGUUAAGUAUGAGUCAAGCAUAUACAACAUACAUUUAUAUAACCGAGAAUUUUGACCUAAUACUAUAUUUGCUUUCAGCACCAGGACCAUACCUUACACUUCAAAACGUGAAUGGGAUGAAUGUGUUAAUACAGUAAUCAGUGCUAUCUUAUUAAGUAAGUAGGCUAUCCCUGUGGUACAAUAACUGACAGGAUUUUCUUCCCAGAAUAUCUCCCAUAACUCUCCAGGAGCCAGUAUUAGCAGUAUAUGACACUGAAUCAAGCAUUCUUCUAGGCUCUAUUUUCUAAAAUAUCCUAAUCCUUAGAAAGUUAAAACAUUCCCCUUAAUUUGUUUUCUUUAGUUUCUUUUUUUGGUACCAGGGAUCGAACUUGGGACCUGGUGCUUGCGAGGCAGGCGCUGGAACCACGGAGCUAAAUCCCUGGCCCUCCCCUUAAUUUGUUAGUAUGAGUAGAGUUCUUCACUAAGUAGAACUGUGUUUUGUGAGAUUAGUAGAUGCUGGGAGAUUCCAAAAGAAGCUUUCAAAGGUAUGUUCAUUUUGCUGCACAGCUGAGUCCAUAACUAGUCCUUGAGCAGUUGCAGCUGUGUCCUUGGGUACACAUUAGAAAAAUCGAAGCAGUUUAAGCCUCACAUCAUCACUUUUUGUCCCUGAUGGUACGUAUGCUUCAUAGGUUGUUGGAUAAUAGUCAUAGGCCAACAAUUGGUUUUAGGUCCUUUUCUGUUUUGUCCAUUUUAAAGGUAAGCUAAUUAUUAGCUUGCAUAGAUUUACUUUUUAGUUUUCAAUAAUGCUAUCACUGCCAAGAAAGAAAAGGUCAUUUUUAGUGUCUUAUUUAGUAUUCCUUUAUAACUAGUGUUAAAGUUCUAUUAAUUUUACUGUAUACAUUUAUUAGAAAUUAAAUGCCAAAAGGAAAAAAAGUGCUGUAAAGUCUGACUCAGAAUUGCUUUUCAUUUGCUUUGAUUUUUAAUUUUAUUACAUUAAUAGCUAACAUCUGUUGUUUCUCACCCAUUUUUUUCCCCCUUUGUGGUUACUGAAUCAGCUCUUAACUAUAUUCUUUAAAUUGUAUGUAUCAUCAGAAGGAAGAUAUGAGCAAUUACAUGUAUAUAUUUUAUCUUGGAAAAUAACAUUCACUUUAGCAGGCUAAUAACGUCUACAUUAUUUGUCCUUUCUCACAUGACCUGAAGAGUAUUUUGUUCAUUGUCACAAUUUGGCAUUGCUAGUUCCAGGUAAUCUUUGGGUCAGAAGGUCAGCUAAGAAACAGAAUAAGUAGCAUAAAUUAUUGAAGCAUGCUAGAAAACAACUCAAAAGUACUCCCAAUUAGUGAUUAUUACAUUUGUAUUAAUGAAGGGUUGUGAAGUUAUUGUAAAAUGGCUGAAUAAAGCCCAAUUGUAGAGUAAUUCAGAUGGACAACCAAAUCCUUAAGAGACUUAUAGACAAAGUCUGUUUAGCCAAGCCAGAACCAGCCUGCCUGCAGUUGCCACAUAAGUUAACUAGUAGUUUAGAAGCUCAAGAAUGGAUCAAAAUGUUUAGGUCUUGAAUAUUGUGGAUUAUAGCUUCUUAUAGAAAACUACAGAUGUGGACAAAAACUGUUCUCUUUGAAAGCAUUGCCAGCAGCCUAAUAGAGUCUUUAGAUUUCCAUUUAUAUUUGGCAGUUUUGACCAUGUGCUUCUCUUGUAUAAAGUACUACAUUUUACUAUGCUUAGUAUUGAUGGGUUGUAUUUGUCUACACUAUCAGAGUGGAUUUUGCCUUUUUAAAAUUGCCAUUUGUGCAAAGAACAGGAGUUCAUACAACACAGUGUGUUACCAGCUUAUAUAUGGUGGGUAAAUAGUUUUUAAUGCUUCAUAAUCAUUUGAAUUAAAAUUUGAUACCUCUGGAAAGCAAAGUGGUGCUUUAAUUUUGAAUGAAAAAUUUUUAUUGUGUAGGAAAGACAGCUAAUGUCUUUGUGUCCUGACUUACAUACAAACCACCUAUAGGAGUUAGACAAAUUCCUUAUAAAUCCAGUGAUUUUGAAUGUAAUAGCAGUGUUGGGUUUUUAAAAGAGCAUAUGGUGCGUCUUUUGCAAAUAUGAAUACUCUUAGUAAUCUUGACUAAUUGUAAAGCAGUGACAAACCAAUAUUUUGCCUUUUAUUUAACUUUAAGCAUGUUCACUUUUCAAAGCCUCUGUUUCUUUAUUUCUAAAAUAGAGAUGAUAAUUCUUCAGAGGAAUAAUUUGAGUUUGGAUUUAUUUCAAAAUGACAUUGUUAGUAUAAUUAUUCAGGUUGUUUGAUAAAUUUAUUACUGUGUCCUGAGAGAGAUUUUUGACUGUUUUCCUUUUUCCUGGGCAUCACUUUAUUCCUUCUGUUAAAUUUUGUUGUUGUUGUUACUGGGGAUUGAACUCAGGACUAUUGUGCUUGCCAGGCAGGCAUGGUGCCACUGAGGUAAAUCCCCAGACCCCCUCUGUUAAAUUUUUUUAAAUUAUAUGUUCACUCUCUUACUUUUUCCUUAUUCUUCCUCUUUUUAUUCUUCUUUCAUUCCCUGCCUCUUCUCAUUCAGUUCUUUCUCUAAUUUCACUUAUUCCUUUAUUAUGAGAAGCAGAGCAGGUCGUGGUAAAACCCCUACUGACUGCCUUCCUACUAAAUGAGAUUUUGGAAGGCAGGUAUUUCCGAAAUUGCAAAGGUGAAAUUCCCCUGCCAUUUCAAAAUAGUAGAACAAGUUAAAGUAAUUUAUAACUGUAGUUUCUACUAUCCUUCUGAAUCCACAGGAUUCAGCAGCUGACAUGUUCACAAAAUGGGAUUGCUUUAAUAUGAUAGAUUCAACACCUAAACUUGGAAUAGUCAUGUCUGCUGUGAUGUGGAUAAAGAGAUGAUGCCACUUUUCUCAAAGAAGAGUAUUUAAAAUCUAAAUUACAUGAAUUUUUUGUUUUAUGAUUUUUUUCCUUUUUUUUUUUUUGGUCUUUGUAGGUGAGUUCUUUUGUUUCUAGAGGAAAGUCCUUUGAACUAUUCUAGAUUUAUGUUAUGUAAAUAUUAUUGAUUUAUAAUAUUUGGACUGCUUGUCUUCAAAAACUAUUUGAGGCAUCAUAUUGCCCCUAUAUGUAUAUAUGUAUUGCUCCUAUUGCUAAUUUUCUGUUGCAAAACAGUAAUUUUGAUGGAAGACCUAGAAUGUUACAAUUCUUAAUUUCUGAGUCUUUCUAGAAUAUAUUUGCUUUCCAUAUCCUUGUUGCUUAUGGUGACACAGUGGUCAACUGAAAUAUUCCUAAUUUUACUAAGUGAUUAUAGUCUCUCAGGUAAGAAGAAGAUUAUUGAAUUUACAGUUGCUGCAAAUGUAGUUUCAUUUAGUUUUAUUUUAAACUAAAAGUGUAUGCAUACCAUGCCAUUAUUUGAAAAAUCGUUGCAAAUAAUAAAAAUUACUUCUUUCUGUGAAGUUUUACUAGAAAGGAGAAAAAUUCCAAACUAUAGUAUUACAG
RNAcentral lists this long non-coding RNA (3772 nucleotides) under Heterocephalus glaber (naked mole-rat). RNAcentral's name for it is "lncRNA (ENSHGLG00000036273.1)". The record is from RNAcentral. Lineage: Eukaryota; Metazoa; Chordata; Mammalia; Rodentia; Bathyergidae.